GACUAUACACCGUUUUCACUCCAAAUUGGAUACAGAACAUAUCAGAAAGUGUGCGGUAAUGGUAUUUAGCGCUGCUGGUUCAAAAUACACAUUGUGGAUGAUCCAUUGACAUUUCUCUCUACAACAUUUCAGUUUCGUUUAUUGUAGUAUCAUAAAGUUUCCUGCCUGUCCGGACCGCUGUGCUUCAUGCGCAAUAGACUGAGAAUUUGAGUACAGUACAUAGGAAAUGACUCAUAGGAGUUCAACUGUUAGCGUGGGUGUGUACUCUAUUAAAACAAGGCUCAGACUACUCCGGAUGACUCAGUGCGAGGCUGUUCUUCAGAUGAACUUUCGGGAAUUGCGUUUAUACAAGAACGAUGGCUUCAUACGUUCUCUGUGCGCUUUGUGGACUGAUCAUUGCGACUAUAGUGAAACUAAACGGAGUGAAUGGGCAAAGCCUAUGCACCAGUAAAGAGUUCUGGAGUUCAGACAUAGACCAAUGUGUAUCCUGCUCAACAUGUAAGCAGUAUCCAAAGACCCCUUCAUGUAACACUUGCACAUUUACAGAGGAGAGAUCUGAUGUCUGGAGACUGGCAGCCAUUUCCAGCUUCUCUGUGCUGGCAGUCGUUCUGCUCAUUGCAGUGUUGAUCAUUGGGGUCAUGGUGCAUCGACGCACGGCAAACAAUAGGCCCCUUCGUGGUAGGGCUCACGGCUACCAUCUCCUGCUAAACUAACAUUAACCUAUUGAAGAGACAACGGGACCUCUUUACCAAGCUUAAACAUUUCAGUAGCUUCAUCUUCUUCCUGACAUCGAUGUGACAGAACCAAGGGAACACCUUUUGAGGACCAAUCGUCAGAAGAAUUUCUGUACAAUGGACUGUGGGUAUUAUUUCAGCAGAGUUUGACCAUUUUGAAUUGAUACUGCUAGUUAGUAAAGGUGUGCUCACACUCAUUAGACUGUUACAGAACGGAGCUCUCACAUAGAGCUGUGUUGACUCCCGCUGUCAAUCCCGUCUUGUCUGAAGUCAGACUGUGCUCUGAGGAAGACCAUGUGGUUAGUAAAGAGUAGCUCUCACAGCUCUUUUGGUAUUGAUGUCCUUUGAGUUAUGAUGCUAGUUUUAGCCAGUGUAGAUAUUCCAAUCUAUCGAUAAGUCAUUUGUUCAAAAACAGUAUUGAACAUGAGACACAUCUUGAAUGAUUUGUAUUUAUUACCAUAACUGUCAAUGCUUGAUCACCUAUUACUGUAUUGGUGUCAGACAUUUAGCUUAUUAGGUAGAAUACCAGCUAACACACUGCCUCGACUUGCCACAAGCAGGAUGAAUGUGAAUACAGCACAAUCAAGCUUUCUGGGCCAGGUUUGACCUACUGUACUUCUAAGAAUAAAAGGUUUAUAUUUGCUGGUCAUA
This is a long non-coding RNA of Salvelinus namaycush (lake trout), 1385 nucleotides long. RefSeq lists it as uncharacterized. The transcript has 5 exons. The record is from RefSeq and is a predicted model, not a curated record. Lineage: Eukaryota; Metazoa; Chordata; Actinopteri; Salmoniformes; Salmonidae.